CCUACGGGAGGCAGCAGUGAGGAAUAUUGGUCAAUGGCCGAGAGGCUGAACCAGCCAAGUCGCGUGAGGGAAGACGGCCCUACGGGUUGUAAACCUCUUUUGUCGGGGAGCAAAGCGAACCACGUGUGGUUCAUUGAGAGUACCCGAAGAAAAAGCAUCGGCUAACUCCGUGCCAGCAGCCGCGGUAAUACGGAGGAUGCGAGCGUUAUCCGGAUUUAUUGGGUUUAAAGGGUGCGCAGGCGGAGGUGCAAGUCAGCGGUCAAAUUGCGGGGCUCAACCCCGUACUGCCGUUGAAACUGCAUCCCUAGAGUGCGCGAGAAGUAUGCGGAAUGCGUGGUGUAGCGGUGAAAUGCAUAGAUAUAACGCAGAACUCCGAUUGCGAAGGCGGCCUGCUGGACCGUAACUGACGUUGAGGCUCGAAAGCGUGGGGAGCAAACAGGAUUAGAUACCCCGGUAGUC
This 459-nucleotide ribosomal RNA is filed under the name uncultured bacterium. RNAcentral describes it as "partial 16S ribosomal RNA". It matches the Rfam family "Bacterial small subunit ribosomal RNA", at positions 338 to 795 of the family's 1533-position model. The record is from RNAcentral.